CCUUGACAUACUAAGAACUUUCCAGAGAUGGAUUGGUGCUUUCGGGAACUUAGAUACAGGUGCUGCAUGGCUGUCGUCAGCUCGUGUCGUGAGAUGUUGGGUUAAGUCCCGCAACGAGCGCAACCCUUUUCCUUAUUUGCCAGCGGGUCAUGCCGGGAACUUUAAGGAUACUGCCAGUGACAAACUGGAGGAAGGCGGGACGACGUCAAGUCAUCAUGGCCCUUACGGCCAGGGCUACACACGUGCUACAAUGGUCGGUACAAAGGGUUGCUACCUCGCGAGAGGAUGCUAAUCUCAAAAAGCCGAUCGUAGUCCGGAUCGCAGUCUGCAACUCGACUGCGUGAAGUCGGAAUCGCUAGUAAUCGCGGAUCAGAAUGCCGCGGUGAAUACGUUCCCGGGCCUUGUACACACCGCCCGUCACACCAUGGGAGUUUGUUGCACCAGAAGUAGGUAGUCUAACCGCAAGGAGGACGCUUACCACGGUGUGGCCGAUGACUGGGGUGAAGUCGUAACAAGGUAGGCGUAGAUGA
This 530-nucleotide ribosomal RNA is filed under the name uncultured bacterium. Its description in RNAcentral is "bacterial SSU rRNA". It matches the Rfam family "Bacterial small subunit ribosomal RNA", at positions 979 to 1509 of the family's 1533-position model. The record is from RNAcentral.